GGAAUAUUGGACAAUGGGCGCAAGCCUGAUCCAGCCAUGCCGCGUGGGUGAAGAAGGCCUUAGGGUUGUAAACCCCUUUCAGCGGGGAAGAUAAUGACGGUACCCGCCGAAGAAGCCCCGGCUAACUCCGCGCCAGCAGCCGCGGUAAUACGGAGGGGGCUAGCGUUGUUCGGAAUUACUGGGCGUAAAGCGCGCGUCGGCGGACCUGCAAGUCAGGGGUGAAAUCCCGAGGCUCAACCUCGGAACUGCCUUUGAUACUGCGGGUCUCGAGUCCGGGAGAGGUGAGUGGAAUUCCUAGUGUAGAGGUGAAAUUCGUAGAUAUUAGGAAGAACACCAGUGGCGAAGGCGGCUCACUGGCCCGGUACUGACGCUGAGGCGCGAAAGCGUGGGGAGCAAAC
RNAcentral lists this ribosomal RNA (398 nucleotides) under uncultured bacterium. Its description in RNAcentral is "bacterial SSU rRNA". It matches the Rfam family "Bacterial small subunit ribosomal RNA", at positions 358 to 773 of the family's 1533-position model. The record is from RNAcentral.